GCCAGACUCCUACGGGAGGCAGCAGUGAGGAAUAUUGGUCAAUGGUCGGGAGACUGAACCAGCCAAGCCGCGUGAGGGAUGAAGGUACAGAGUAUCGUAAACCUCUUUUGUCAGGGAACAAAGGCGGGGACGUGUCCCCGGAUGAGUGUACCUGAAGAAAAAGCAUCGGCUAACUCCGUGCCAGCAGCCGCGGUAAUACGGAGGAUGCGAGCGUUAUCCGGAUUUAUUGGGUUUAAAGGGUGCGUAGGCGGAAUGCCAAGUCAGGGGUAAAAUCGGGGGGCUCAACCUCGCUCCGCCGUUGAAACUGGCAGUCUCGAGUUGGAGAGAAGUAUGCGGAAUGCGCGGUGUAGCGGUGAAAUGCAUAGAUAUCGCGCAGAACUCCGAUUGCGAAGGCAGCAUGCCGGCUCCACACUGACGCUGAGGCACGAAAGCGUGGGUAUCGAACAGGAUUAGAUACCCCAGUACC
Molecule: ribosomal RNA, 466 nt
Filed under: uncultured bacterium
Lineage: Bacteria
Description: bacterial SSU rRNA
Rfam family: Bacterial small subunit ribosomal RNA
Source: RNAcentral